RNAcentral lists this ribosomal RNA (98 nucleotides) under Periophthalmus magnuspinnatus. The record is from RNAcentral. Lineage: Eukaryota; Metazoa; Chordata; Actinopteri; Gobiiformes; Gobiidae.
CCAUGCGGCCAUAUCUCGUCAGAUCUCAGAGACUAAGCAAGGCUGGGCCUGCUUAGUAUUUGGAUGGGAGACCCUGGGAAUAUCAGGUGCCACAAUGG